This 163-nucleotide unclassified non-coding RNA is filed under the name uncultured Capnodiales. RNAcentral describes it as "sequence contains ITS2". The record is from RNAcentral. Lineage: Eukaryota; Fungi; Ascomycota; Dothideomycetes; Capnodiales.
AAUCCAAUCAAGCCUGGCUUGGUAUUGGGCGCCGGGACUCCUCCGCGCCUCAAUUUCACCGGCUGGCCGCCGCCCGUCUUAGCGUUGUGACAUACUUUUCGCUGGCGAUGGGGAGCGGUUUCACGCCGUUAGAAUUCAAUGAAUUUCAAUCGAAAUUCGAUUA